Molecule: ribosomal RNA, 253 nt
Filed under: uncultured bacterium
Lineage: Bacteria
Description: partial 16S ribosomal RNA
Rfam family: Bacterial small subunit ribosomal RNA
Source: RNAcentral
UACAGAGGGGGCAAGCGUUAUUCGGAAUUAUUGGGCGUAAAGGGCGCGUAGGCGGCGGUCACAGUCAGAUGUGAAAUUCCUGGGCUUAACCUGGGGGCUGCAUUUGAUACGUGGUUGCUUGAGUGGGGAAGAGGGUCGUGGAAUUCCCAGUGUAGAGGUGAAAUUCGUAGAUAUUGGGAAGAACACCGGUGGCGAAGGCGGCGACCUGGUCCUUGACUGACGCUGAGGCGCGAAAGCGUGGGGAGCGAACAGG